RNAcentral lists this ribosomal RNA (425 nucleotides) under uncultured bacterium. RNAcentral's name for it is "partial 16S ribosomal RNA". It matches the Rfam family "Bacterial small subunit ribosomal RNA", at positions 354 to 796 of the family's 1533-position model. The record is from RNAcentral.
GUGGGGAAUAUUGGGCAAUGGGCGAAAGCCUGACCCAGCAACGCCGCGUGAAGGAAGAAGGUUUUCGGAUCGUAAACUUCUAUCCUUGGUGAAGAUAAUGACGGUAGCCAAGAAGGAAGCCCCGGCUAACUACGUGCCAGCAGCCGCGGUAAUACGUAGGGGGCAAGCGUUGUCCGGAAUGAUUGGGCGUAAAGGGCGCGUAGGCGGCCCGGUAAGUCUGAAGUAAAAGUCCUGCUUUUAAGGUGGGAAUUGCUUUGGAUACUGUCGGGCUGGAGUGCAGGAGAGGUAAGCGGAAUUCCCGGUGUAGCGGUGAAAUGCGUAGAGAUCGGGAGGAACACCAGUGGCGAAGGCGGCUUACUGGACUGUAACUGACGCUGAGGCGCGAAAGUGUGGGGAGCAAACAGGAUUAGAAACCCUGGUAGUCC